RNAcentral lists this ribosomal RNA (252 nucleotides) under Synechococcus sp. UW158. RNAcentral describes it as "partial 16S ribosomal RNA". It matches the Rfam family "Bacterial small subunit ribosomal RNA", at positions 1283 to 1533 of the family's 1533-position model. Lineage: Bacteria; Bacillati; Cyanobacteriota; Cyanophyceae; Synechococcales; Synechococcaceae. The record is from RNAcentral.
GUGGCUCAGUUCAGAUCGUAGGCUGCAACUCGCCUACGUGAAGGAGGAAUCGCUAGUAAUCGCAGGUCAGCAUACUGCGGUGAAUACGUUCCCGGGCCUUGUACACACCGCCCGUCACACCAUGGAAGUUGGCCACGCCCGAAGCCGUUACUCCAACCCUUGUGGAGGAGGACGUCGAAGGUGGGGCUGAUGACUGGGGUGAAGUCGUAACAAGGUAGCCGUACCGGAAGGUGCGGCUGGAUCACCUCCUAA